Molecule: non-coding RNA, 2125 nt
Organism: Lolium perenne
Lineage: Eukaryota; Viridiplantae; Streptophyta; Magnoliopsida; Poales; Poaceae
Source: RefSeq, a predicted model, not a curated record
CAGGCUUAUUUAUAGACCUUGCAUCUUCUCACACUAGCUGCAGCAACAGCCACACUGCCUACCAGGCUGACUAGUAUCUGUUUCAGUCUUAUGCGUGUGGCUUCUUAGUUAGACCAGUGGUUGCCAAGAAGAAGUGAUAGAUGGACGCCGCCGAACCUCGGCAGCAGCAGGAGGAGCAGGAGCCCAAGGCUAGCAUGGAGAAGACGGUGAAGGCCGGCUUCUCCGUGGACGAUGAUUCGUCGUCGGAUGCCGGCGAGCCCGUCCAGAACCAUCGCGGCUGGAAGGCUAUGCCUUAUGUCAUAGGGAAUGAGACAUUCGAGAAGCUCGGGACGAUCGGGACGGUGUCGAACCUGCUGGUGUACCUGACGACCGUGUACCACAUGCAGGGUGUGAGCGCCGCCAUCCUCCUCAACGUGUUCAACGGCACCAGCAACCUGGCCACCGUCGCUGGAGCCUUCAUCAGCGACACCUACCUCGGCCGCUACACCACCCUCGCUGCCGCCACCAUCUGCUCCUUCACCGGCAUGGUCAUCCUCGCCCUCACCGCUGCGCUCCACUCCCUCCACCCUCCCAGCUGCAAUCCCAAAGCAGCAGGUGUGCAAUGCCAGGGGGCCUCGGGCGGCCAGCUAGCCGCGCUGCUCACCGCCUUCUUCUUCCUCAUCAUCGGCGCCGGUGGCAUCCGACCGUGCAACCUGGCGUUCGGGGCAGACCAGUUCAACCCGCGCACCGCCGACGGGCGGCGCGGCAUCGCUAGCUUCUUCAACUGGUACUACUUCACCUUCACCGUGGCCAUGAUGGUGUCUGCCACUGUCAUCAUCUACCUCCAGAGCAACGUCAACUGGGCUCUCGGCCUUGCCGUGCCAGCGGCGCUCAUGGGCCUCUCCUGUGCCGUCUUCUUCAUGGGCACGCGCCUCUACGUCUGCGUCCGCCCCGAGGGCAGCCCCUUCACCAGCUUCGCGCAGGUCCUCGUUGCCGCGGUUCGCAAGCGCCACCUACGGCGACAAGGUGGCACCGGAGCAAACACACUAUUUGACCCGCCGCACAGGAGCAAGGUCGUCUCCAAGCUGGCCUACACCGACCAGUUCACGUGCCUCGACAAGGCAGCCAUGCUUACCCCUGAGGAGGACGCGCUCUGCGCCGACGGGAAGACGCCGACGGACCCGUGGCGGCUGUGCAGUAUGCAGCAGGUGGAGGAGGUGAAGUGCUUAGCGCGGAUCAUCCCAGUGUGGUCGUCGGGGAUCGUCUACUUCGUGGUGGUCACCCAGCUCGGCACCUACGUCGUCCUCCAGGCGGCGCAGACCGACCGCCGUAUCACCGCCAGCAGCAGCUUCCAGAUCCCGCAGGGCUCGUUCGUCGUCUUCGUGAUGCUCGCUCUAACUCUUUGGAUCCCGGUGUACGACCGUCUACUCGUGCCGGUGCUCCGCCGGAUCACCAAGCGCGAGGGUGGCAUCACCCUGCUCCAGCGGAUCGGCAUCGGAAUGGUGCUCUCCGUGGUCACGAUGCUGGUGGCGGCGGCGGUGGAGCGUCGCCGCCGUCGGAUCGGUCCGGGAUCGCCGAUGAUGUCGUGCUUCUGGCUGGUGCCGCAGCAGGUGCUGGCGGGGCUCUCGGAGGCGUUCGCCGCCAUCGGGCAGACCGAGUUCUACUACCGGCAGUUCCCCGAGAACAUGCGAAGCGUCGCUGGGGCGCUCUACUUCCUUGGGUGGGCACUUGCGAGCUACGCCAGUGGGCUCAUGGUGACCAUUCUGCACCGGACCACGGGAUGGCUGGCGCAGGACCUGGACGAGGGCAGGGUGGACCUUUUCUACCUUGUCACCGGCGCCAUCGCAGCGGUCAACCUCGUCUACUUCAUGGCGUGCGCACGGUGGUACAGGUUCAAGAAGUCAGAUGACGACCACACCGGCUCCGGCGCCGGCGACACCGACCUCGACGAGAGCCCGAAGAAAGCGGCGAAUGCAGCGCCGGUUUAGUCAUUUAGUUUAGGGCCUGCCCGUCGCGGCUCAGAGAUGGAUAUGCAUGCAUGCAUGCAUAGUGGUAUAUACUUAUCGGUUGUGGUGAAUCCACCUAUUGUUGUGGUCUAUACAGAUUCGAGAUUAUUAUAAAAAGGUCAGCAGAUCUGAGGAAAUAA